ACUGUUUCAGUAACACGUGGAUAACCUGCCCUAAGGUGGAGGAUAACCCCGGGAAACUGGGGAUAAUACUCCAUAGGUUCCGGAGGCUGGAAUGCCCUGGAGCCUAAAGCUCCGGCGCCUUAGGAUGGAUCUGCGGCCGAUUAGGUUGUUGUUGGGGUAACGGCCCAACAAGCCUGUAAUCGGUACGGGUUGUGGGAGCAAGAGCCCGGAGAUGGACUCUGAGACACGAGUCCAGGCCCUACGGGGCGCAGCAGGCGCGAAAACUUUACAAUGCAGGAAACUGUGAUAAGGGAACCCCGAGUGCCCGUAUACGCGGGCUGUCCAGGUGUUUAAAACGCAUCUGAAGAAAGGGCCGGGCAAGACCGGUGCCAGCCGCCGCGGUAAUACCGGCGGCUCGAGUGGUGGCCACUUUUAUUGGGCUUAAAGCGUCCGUAGCUUGGUUGUUAAGUCUCUUGGGAAAUCUCACAGCUUAACCGUGAGGCGUCUAAGGGAUACUGGCAACCUAGGGACCGGAAGAGGUGAGAGGUACUCCAGGGGUAGGAGUGAAAUCCUGUAAUCCUUGGGGGACCACCUGUGGCGAAGGCGUCUCACCAGGACGGCUCCGACAGUGAGGGACGAAAGCUGGGGGAGCAAACCGGAUUAGAUACCCGGGUAGUCCCAGCCGUAAACGAUGCGCGUUAGGUGUAUCGGUGACCACGAGUCACCGAGGUGCCGAAGGGAAACCGUGAAACGCGCCGCCUGGGAAGUACGGUCGCAAGGCUGAAACUUAAAGGAAUUGGCGGGGGAGCAC
RNAcentral lists this ribosomal RNA (790 nucleotides) under uncultured archaeon. Its description in RNAcentral is "bacterial SSU rRNA". It matches the Rfam family "Archaeal small subunit ribosomal RNA", at positions 83 to 879 of the family's 1478-position model. The record is from RNAcentral.